This 302-nucleotide ribosomal RNA is filed under the name uncultured fungus. RNAcentral describes it as "eukaryotic LSU rRNA". The stretch from base 1 to 113 matches the Rfam family "5.8S ribosomal RNA", at positions 42 to 154 of the family's 154-position model. Lineage: Eukaryota; Fungi. The record is from RNAcentral.
AACGCAGCGAAGGGCGAUAAGUAAUGUGAAUUGCAGAAUUCAGUGAAUCAUCGAAUCUUUGAACGCACAUUGCGCCCCUUGGUAUUCCGAGGGGCAUGCCUGUUCGAGCGUCAUUUAACCACUCACGCCUAGCGUGGUAUUGGGGCACGCGGUCUCGCGGCCCUCAAAAUUAGUGGCGGCGCCGGUGGGCUCUAAGCGUAGUACAUACCUCCCGCUAUAGACGUUCCCCCGGUGGCUCGCCAGAACCCCCCAAUUUUUUAUUAUCUGGCCUCAAAUCAGGUAGGACUACCCGCUGAACUUAA